This 874-nucleotide unclassified non-coding RNA is filed under the name Hevea brasiliensis (rubber tree). Lineage: Eukaryota; Viridiplantae; Streptophyta; Magnoliopsida; Malpighiales; Euphorbiaceae. The record is from RNAcentral.
UGCAAGUUGUUGAAGCAAGAUCUCCGGAAGAUCUUCAUAGAGCGUUGAAACAUGCUUCAGAAGAAAAUAUUGAAGAGAGAUCAAAACCAUCAGAUUUAAAGAACUGGCCAAGAGAAGUAAAUGAUAUGGGUUCUAGCAGUUCUACCAAGGAGCUUCCGGCUCUUGAAGUUGGUGCAAUUGAUGAUAUUGACCUGGCUUUCAAUCAACCUAACAAUGGUGUAGAUGUUCCCAGCAAAGUUGAGCAGCAUCUUGUUGUGAAUGAAUCCAGAGAUCUUCUACAUUCCAAUUCAGACUUGCAUGUUCUUGGAGCAAGCUCUGUAGAAGAUCUUCAUAGUGCCAUGAAGCAAGUUUUGGAGGUUAAUAUUGAGGAGCUGCCUAAAACAUCAGAUCCAACCAAAGAGAUAUCAAGGACUUCAGAAGUAAAUGAAAUUGGUCCCACCAAGGACAUUGAAUCAAGUACUGUAGAAGUAUAUGAAGCAGGUGUUAUCCAGGAGAGUGGAUCAAGUACUGUAGAGUUUGGUUCUCAAGAAACGAUCACUGCAGUUCCUGCUGAACCAAUGCAUUGAUUUGAUGAAACAUCUGGAGUUUCAUGUUUGAACAUAUCAGAUACAAAAGGUGAGAGUGCAAAAUCUCUUAGAUUGAGCUCAAGUUCUAGCUCUUGCUCAAGCUUCACAGGUACAGAUUGAAAAAGAGAAUUGACGGAGUAAAGAGAAAAAGGUUUUGUGGUUUGAGUUUUCCAUUGAUGCGGUUUACUUCUGUGAUCAUGGGCUUUUUGUUUUUAUAGUUUGGUUUUCUCUCUUGUUUUCAUUACUGGAUGUUGGUUUUUGUUUUGCCCUUUCAAUUGAUUGAUCUCUUCAAGAAUGAGUUUUGGUUU